Molecule: ribosomal RNA, 207 nt
Filed under: uncultured bacterium
Lineage: Bacteria
Description: partial 16S ribosomal RNA
Rfam family: Bacterial small subunit ribosomal RNA
Source: RNAcentral
CGCGUAGGCGGCCUUCUAAGUCGAACGUGAAAUCCCUGGGCUCAACCCAGGAACUGCGUCCGAUACUGGCAGGCUUGAAUCCGGGAGAGGGAUGCGGAAUUCCAGGUGUAGCGGUGAAAUGCGUAGAUAUCUGGAGGAACACCGGUGGCGAAGGCGGCAUCCUGGACCGGUAUUGGCGCUGAGGCGCGAAAGCCAGGGGAGCAAACG